GGGGAGUAGCUCAGUUGGUUAGAGCGUCGGCCUGUCACGUCGAAGGUCGCGAGUUCAAGUCUCGUCUCUCC
RNAcentral lists this transfer RNA (71 nucleotides) under bovine gut metagenome. It matches the Rfam family "tRNA". From Rfam's summary of the family: Transfer RNA (tRNA) molecules are approximately 80 nucleotides in length. The record is from RNAcentral.